AUGGAGGAGAACCCUAGUGGACACAUCAAGGUCGAUGACAUGGAGCCCGUCAUCUUCUAGGCGCUUCUUCACUUCAUCUACACGGAUACCUUCCCAUAUAAUGGAGGUGUAGACAAGAAUGUGCCAUUGCAACACUUGUUUGUUGCCGUGGAUCGGUAAGGGCUGGAUAGGCUCACGACAAUGUGUGAACAAAUGCUAUGCGAGAGCAUCGACGUGCACACAGUUGCCACCACACUUGCCUUAGCGGAGCAGCACCAAUGCGUGGAACUCAAGCGUGCAUGCCUUGGAUUCCUGUCCUCUCAAUGUGUGCUCAGUGACAUCCAAGAGACAGAUGGAUUCAAGCACCUCAUAUCCAGCUGCCCUUCUGUUGUAGGGGACAUCAUAAACAGCGUCGCCAUCACUAGCGGUAGGGCUGCCAAAAGAGCUCGAGUCGAAGCCACUCACAGCGACUCGUCUUCUAGCUACACCGGAGAUUAUUGA
RNAcentral lists this ribosomal RNA (480 nucleotides) under Triticum aestivum (bread wheat). Its description in RNAcentral is "partial small subunit ribosomal RNA". Lineage: Eukaryota; Viridiplantae; Streptophyta; Magnoliopsida; Poales; Poaceae. The record is from RNAcentral.